AAAUUGAAGAGUUUGAUCAUGGCUCAGAUUGAACGCUGGCGGCAGGCCUAACACAUGCAAGUCGAGCGGUAGCACAGGAGAGCUUGCUCUCUGGGUGACGAGCGGCGGACGGGUGAGUAAUGUCUGGGAAACUGCCUGAUGGAGGGGGAUAACUACUGGAAACGGUAGCUAAUACCGCAUAACGUCGCAAGACCAAAGAGGGGGACCUUCGGGCCUCUUGCCAUCAGAUGUGCCCAGAUGGGAUUAGCUAGUAGGUGGGGUAACGGCUCACCUAGGCGACGAUCCCUAGCUGGUCUGAGAGGAUGACCAGCCACACUGGAACUGAGACACGGUCCAGACUCCUACGGGAGGCAGCAGUGGGGAAUAUUGCACAAUGGGCGCAAGCCUGAUGCAGCCAUGCCGCGUGUAUGAAGAAGGCCUUCGGGUUGUAAAGUACUUUCAGCGGGGAGGAAGGCGAUAAGGUUAAUAACCUUGUCGAUUGACGUUACCCGCAGAAGAAGCACCGGCUAACUCCGUGCCAGCAGCCGCGGUAAUACGGAGGGUGCAAGCGUUAAUCGGAAUUACUGGGCGUAAAGCGCACGCAGGCGGUCUGUCAAGUCGGAUGUGAAAUCCCCGGGCUCAACCUGGGAACUGCAUUCGAAACUGGCAGGCUAGAGUCUUGUAGAGGGGGUAGAAUUCCAGGUGUAGCGGUGAAAUGCGUAGAGAUCUGGAGGAAUACCGGUGGCGAAGGCGGCCCCCUGGACAAAGACUGACGCUCAGGUGCGAAAGCGUGGGGAGCAAACAGGAUUAGAUACCCUGGUAGUCCACGCCGUAAACGAUGUCGACUUGGAGGUUGUGCCCUUGAGGCGUGGCUUCCGGAGCUAACGCGUUAAGUCGACCGCCUGGGGAGUACGGCCGCAAGGUUAAAACUCAAAUGAAUUGACGGGGGCCCGCACAAGCGGUGGAGCAUGUGGUUUAAUUCGAUGCAACGCGAAGAACCUUACCUACUCUUGACAUCCAGAGAACUUUCCAGAGAUGGAUUGGUGCCUUCGGGAACUCUGAGACAGGUGCUGCAUGGCUGUCGUCAGCUCGUGUUGUGAAAUGUUGGGUUAAGUCCCGCAACGAGCGCAACCCUUAUCCUUUGUUGCCAGCGGUUCGGCCGGGAACUCAAAGGAGACUGCCAGUGAUAAACUGGAGGAAGGUGGGGAUGACGUCAAGUCAUCAUGGCCCUUACGAGUAGGGCUACACACGUGCUACAAUGGCGCAUACAAAGAGAAGCGACCUCGCGAGAGCAAGCGGACCUCAUAAAGUGCGUCGUAGUCCGGAUUGGAGUCUGCAACUCGACUCCAUGAAGUCGGAAUCGCUAGUAAUCGUAGAUCAGAAUGCUACGGUGAAUACGUUCCCGGGCCUUGUACACACCGCCCGUCACACCAUGGGAGUGGGUUGCAAAAGAAGUAGGUAGCUUAACCUUCGGGAGGGCGCUUACCACUUUGUGAUUCAUGACUGGGGUGAAGUCGUAACAAGGUAACCGUAGGGGAACCUGCGGUUGGAUCACCUCCUUA
Molecule: ribosomal RNA, 1541 nt
Filed under: Enterobacter asburiae
Lineage: Bacteria; Pseudomonadati; Pseudomonadota; Gammaproteobacteria; Enterobacterales; Enterobacteriaceae
Description: bacterial SSU rRNA
Rfam family: Bacterial small subunit ribosomal RNA
Source: RNAcentral